GGAAUGUGGCUCAGUGGUAGAGUGCUUGCCUAGUAUGUAUGAGGUCCUGGGUUUGAUUCCCCAGUACCA
This 69-nucleotide transfer RNA is filed under the name Marmota monax (woodchuck). It matches the Rfam family "tRNA". Rfam says of the family: Transfer RNA (tRNA) molecules are approximately 80 nucleotides in length. Lineage: Eukaryota; Metazoa; Chordata; Mammalia; Rodentia; Sciuridae. The record is from Rfam by way of RNAcentral.